CAGACGAUGCGUCAUGCAUAUCAAUAAGCGGAGGAAAAGAAACUAACUAGGAUUCCCUCAGUAACGGCGAGUGAAGCGGGAAGAGCUCAAAUUUGAAAUCUUCAAGGUUCUACCUUGACGAAUUGUAGUUUAAAGAAGUGUUUUCUGUUGGAGUUUUGGUAAAAGUUCUUUGGAAUAGGACAUCAUAGAGGGUGAGAAUCCCGUAUUUGACCAUUAUUUCCAGCUUUGUGAUACACUUUCAAAGAGUCGGAUUGUUUGGGAAUGCAGUCCAAAAUGGGUGGUAAAUUUCAUCUAAAGCUAAAUAUUGGCGAGAGACCGAUAGCGAACAAGUACCGUGAGGGAAAGAUGAAAAGAACUUUGAAGAGAGAGUUAAACAGUACGUGAAAUUGUCAAAAGGGAAGCGUUUGACACCAGUGUUGUUUUCUCGAAAAUCAAUUAAAAAAGGCAGGAUUUUGUGUUGUAUUGACUUUAUCAGCUUUCUGCACUCUUUUCUUGUCUUUUUUUAAUGCACUUUUCGUUUAACAAGUCAACAUCAAUUUCUUUUGUUGUAAAAGGGUCAUUGGAAGGUGGCUUUCUUUUCGGAGAAAGUGUUUAUAGCCUUUGGCCUCUGCAAUCGGAGAGAUUGAGGUCUGCAGCGUAGAUCCUUCGGGGUUAGAUACAUUUGUGCUAAGUUAUAGCCUUUCAUAGACAACUUGUUGACUAUGAUCAGUCAUGUAGCUUACUCGCUUAUGCUAUUUUACCUACGCUUAGGAUGUUGAUCUACAGAGCGAGAGU
RNAcentral lists this ribosomal RNA (774 nucleotides) under uncultured Neocallimastigales. RNAcentral describes it as "partial large subunit ribosomal RNA". It matches the Rfam family "Eukaryotic large subunit ribosomal RNA", at positions 18 to 625 of the family's 3401-position model. The record is from RNAcentral. Lineage: Eukaryota; Fungi; Neocallimastigomycota; Neocallimastigomycetes; Neocallimastigales.